RNAcentral lists this ribosomal RNA (235 nucleotides) under uncultured bacterium. RNAcentral describes it as "partial 16S ribosomal RNA". It matches the Rfam family "Bacterial small subunit ribosomal RNA", at positions 99 to 334 of the family's 1533-position model. The record is from RNAcentral.
CGCACGGGUGAGUAACACGUAUCCAACCUGCCGUCUACUCUUGGACAGCCUUCUGAAAGGAAGAUUAAUACAAGAUGGCAUCAUGAGUCCACAUGUUCACAUGAUUAAAGGUAUUCCGGUAGACGAUGGGGAUGCGUUCCAUUAGAUAGUAGGCGGGGUAACGGCCCACCUAGUCAACGAUGGAUAGGGGUUCUGAGAGGAAGGUCCCCCACAUUGGAACUGAGACACGGUCCAA